RNAcentral lists this unclassified non-coding RNA (349 nucleotides) under soil metagenome. Its description in RNAcentral is "partial contains 5.8S ribosomal RNA, internal transcribed spacer 2, and large subunit ribosomal RNA". The stretch from base 4 to 119 matches the Rfam family "5.8S ribosomal RNA", at positions 39 to 154 of the family's 154-position model. The record is from RNAcentral.
GAUAAGAACGCAGCGAACUGCGAUAAGUAAUGUGAAUUGCAGAAUUCAGUGAAUCAUCGAGUCUUUGAACGCACAUUGCGCCCCCUGGCAUUCCGGGGGGCAUGCCUGUCCGAGCGUCAUUGCUGCCCUUCAAGCCCGGCUUGUGUGUUGGGUCGUCGUCCCCCCCGGGGGACGGGCCCGAAAGGCAGCGGCGGCACCGCGUCCGGUCCUCGAGCGUAUGGGGCUUUGUCACCCGCUCGAUUAGGGCCGGCCGGGCGCCAGCCGGCGUCUCCAACCUUCUAUUUUACCAGGUUGACCUCGGAUCAGGUAGGGAUACCCGCUGAACUUAAGCAUAUCAAUAAGCGGAGGA